Morus notabilis is the source of this 2719-nucleotide long non-coding RNA. RefSeq lists it as uncharacterized. The record is from RefSeq and is a predicted model, not a curated record. The transcript has 7 exons. Lineage: Eukaryota; Viridiplantae; Streptophyta; Magnoliopsida; Rosales; Moraceae.
UUUAUAGACUUACUGAGGAGUAUAUGCAAAGCGCUCAUAACUUUGUAAAAACUGCUGAAAAGAAUUUUAGUUAUCCGGAGAAGCUAUUGUGCCCUUGCAAAGAAUGUCGAAACUUAAGUCAUCAAAGUGGUAACAUUGUUUAUGUACACUUGGUAAUCAAUGGUAUGGAUCCAACAUACACCACUUGGUUUCAUCAUGGGGAAGAAGUAAACACAAAUGAAGAGUUAGAAAACGUUGAGAGGAAUGACAUAAAUGAGUUAUACAAGGCUGCCUAUGCCGAUGAGAAUGAUUAUAUAGAACAAUCUCAAGAACAUAGGUUAGAGGAGUUAAAUGAAAAAAUGAACGAUUGGUUAGAACCAUUAUGUCCUGGUUGUUCAAAAUACAACAAGUUAUCUGCCUUUAUUGCCUUAUUCAAGCAUAAGACCAUGACGGAUGGUCUGAUUGUACUUUUGAUGGAUUGCUAGAGUUAUUGCAUGACAUGUUACCCGAACCCAAUGUGUUGAUAAGGUCGACGUAUAAAGUACGAAAGUUUAUGAGAGAAUUUCAUCUAGGGUAUGAAAAGAUUCAUGCUUGCCUUAACGAUUGUUGUUUGUUUAGAAAGGAUAAGACAGAUCUUGAUAAAUGUCCAAAGUGUCAUGCUACAAGGUGGAAGGUUGACAAACAUACCAAAAAAGCUAAAGUCCGUGUUCCUGCUAAAGUCUUGAGAUAUCUUCCGAUAAUUCUUAGGUUCAAGGCUAUGUUCAAGAGUGAAAAGAUGGCUCAAGAUUUAAGGUGGCAUUCCAAUAAUAAAAGCGAUGAUGGAAAGAUGCAUCACCCGGUCGACUCUCCAGCAUGGCAACUAGUGAAUGUAAAGUGGCCUACAUUUGCAAAUGAACCACGCAAUCUUAGACUUGGAUUGUCCAUAGAUGGAUUUAAUCCGUUUGGUAAUUUAAGCUUAACUUAUAGCUGUUGGCCAGUGAUGCUUGUGAUAUACAACUUGCCACCAUUUUUGUGCAUGAAAAAGGAAAACAUCAUUAAAGGCCAACCAAGCAAGAUUAGACUCACCAGCAAGCAAGGAAUACUAGAAGUGUUGCUUAGAAGCUGCUUCUUAGAGAAGAUUCUCCUAAAUUUGAACAGUGUGGCUCAAAUGUUUGUGAAAACAAUAGCAUAGGUGACCCAAUUGAUAGGAAUGAAGCAUUCUAGUCACCAAUAACCUCACCCACUGCACCUUCUAGGAGGUCUCUUAGACUGCAAGGAGUUGAAGCUUCUCCUGAAAAUAACAAUCCAACUCAAAACCAUACAAGAGAGUGUGCACCAGAACCUGAGGAGACACCUAUUCAGAGGUUUCGUAGACUGCAAGGAGUUGAAGCUUCGCCUGAAAAUAAGACUCCAACUCAGAGGAAUACAAGUGAAGGUGCACAACCUGAGGAGACACCUAUUCGGAGGUCUUGUAGAUUGCAAGGAGUUGAAGCUUCUCCUGCACCAGAACCUGAGGAGACAACAACAGAAUCUAUAGGAAAGUCUAAAAAUCCAAAUGGAAAGAGAGGGAAGACAAAGAUGAAAGGAAUUGCCUUAGAUGACAGCGAUCCAAUUUCAGUGUGAUUCAACGCAAUGGGCCAACCAAUAGGUAACGGCUCAGUUAGCUUGCCUUCCUUUCUAGGGCCACUUGUUAGGGAGAUUGUUCCCGUAACCAUUAAUGAUUGGAGAAAGUUACAACCAGGGAUGAAAGAAGUGCUUUGGAAAGCUAUCCGGGCCAGAUAUAAAGUGGAUAAACAAUGGCAGAAGCAUCAAAUAUUCAAGAACAUGGGUGCAAUUUGGAGGGCCUCAAAAUCAAGAUUACUUUACCAAGUUAAGAAAGCCAAAAACGAAGAAGAAAGACUAAAAUUGAAGCCUGAUAACAUCAAAUCAGUUGCAAAGUGGAAAGCUUUUGUAAGGGAGAAAACAAGUGCAGCUUUUCAGGAAAGGAGUCAAAAGUAUCAAAACAUGAGGAAGAAACUACUUCCACAUACAACCAGCCGCAAAGGAUAAGCUCGCUUGAUUGAAGACAUGGAUAGGAAAAUUUGGAACAAAUACAAAAUGAAAGACCCACUUCUGAUCAAAGUGAUUUGCUAGAUGAUGCUCUAGCUUCUUACUUUGGUCCUGACCGGAAGCAAUGGGCCUUGGGAUGACUAAGAUAAAACAUUCUGUUUUGUCAGAACAGGAUGAUCACUUGUGGGCUUUACAAGAUAAAUGUAACAAAACAGUAGCGGAUGUCAAAUAAUUGAAAGAGAUAAUUUCUCUAUUGCUGAAAAGUCAAGUAAGUGGCAUCAGAAGUGAGGAUCAAUCUAAUGCAAACGUGCAUUCACUAGUGAGUGAGUAAUAAUUUACCCAAAAUGACCAAUAAGAGUAAGCUAUUAGAUUGGGUUAGAACCGGAGAAGUUGUUGCUGAAGGGCGUUUGAUGCCAAGGGACCCGAAAGACCUCGUUCACCAUGUACCUCUUGGACCGAAUGCAGUUAGACUGUGGGUGAAUGUGGCAAAAAAACUGGACGCUUUCUUGUGGAGGUCAACGAGUGAGAUGAGUACCAUUAAAGAAGUAAUUUCAAGUAAUGUGGCACGGCCUGCUGAUAAAAUUUUAAAGGGGCAAUGAAGACUCAUGCUUGCUCCAACUAUCUACAUAACAAUACAUGUUAAACAGUGGAGAUGACUUUUUUGUUGAAACAUUUUGUCAAGAUGGAAGGAUUUACUUCACCAUUUCAUUUA